GUCUAUAGUAGUACCACUCUGAAUAUGUCUGACAUAGUCUGAUCUCAGAAAUUAAGCAGGAUUAGGCCAGUUAGUACUUGGAUGGGAGAAACAGCAGCAUGUACAAUAUGCA
RNAcentral lists this ribosomal RNA (112 nucleotides) under Nannospalax galili (Upper Galilee mountains blind mole rat). Lineage: Eukaryota; Metazoa; Chordata; Mammalia; Rodentia; Spalacidae. The record is from RNAcentral.